RNAcentral lists this ribosomal RNA (252 nucleotides) under uncultured bacterium. Its description in RNAcentral is "partial 16S ribosomal RNA". It matches the Rfam family "Bacterial small subunit ribosomal RNA", at positions 524 to 776 of the family's 1533-position model. The record is from RNAcentral.
UACAUAGGGAGCAAGCGUUAUCCGGAUUUAUUGGGUUUAAAGGGUGCGUAGGCGGACGCUUAAGUCAGCGGUAAAAUUGCGGGGCUCAACCUCGUCGAGCCGUUGAAACUGGGUGCCUUGAGUGGGCGAGAAGUACGCGGAAUGCGUGGUGUAGCGGUGAAAUGCAUAGAUAUCACGCAGAACUCCGAUUGCGAAGGCAGCGUACCGGCGCCCAACUGACGCUGAAGCACGAAGGCGUGGGUAUCGAACAGG